GAUGAACGCUGGCGGCGUGCCUAAUACAUGCAAGUCGAGCGAACGGACGAGAAGCUUGCUUCUCUGAUGUUAGCGGCGGACGGGUGAGUAACACGUGGAUAACCUACCUAUAAGACUGGGAUAACUUCGGGAAACCGGAGCUAAUACCGGAUGAUAUUUUGAACCGCAUGGUUCAAAAGUGAAAGACGGUCUUGCUGUCACUUAUAGAUUGAUCCGCGCUGCAUUAGCUAGUUGGUAAGGUAACGGCUUACCAAGGCAACGAUGCAUAGCCGACCUGAGAGGGUGAUCGGACACACGGGAACUGAGACACGGUCCAGACUCCUACGGGAGGCAGCAGUAGGGAAUCUUCCGCAAUGGGCGAAAGCCUGACGGAGCAACGCCGCGUGAGUGAUGAAGGUCUUCGGAUCGUAAAACUCUGUUAUUAGGGAAGAACAUAUGUGUAAGUAACUGUGAACAUCUUGACGGUACCUAAUCAGAAAGCCACGGCUAACUACGUG
This 497-nucleotide ribosomal RNA is filed under the name uncultured bacterium. RNAcentral's name for it is "partial 16S ribosomal RNA". It matches the Rfam family "Bacterial small subunit ribosomal RNA", at positions 28 to 507 of the family's 1533-position model. The record is from RNAcentral.